RNAcentral lists this ribosomal RNA (497 nucleotides) under uncultured bacterium. RNAcentral's name for it is "partial 16S ribosomal RNA". It matches the Rfam family "Bacterial small subunit ribosomal RNA", at positions 28 to 507 of the family's 1533-position model. The record is from RNAcentral.
GAUGAACGCUGGCGGCGUGCCUAAUACAUGCAAGUCGAGCGAACAGACGAGGAGCUUGCUCCUCUGACGUUAGCGGCGGACGGGUGAGUAACACGUGGAUAACCUACCUAUCAGACUGGGAUAACUUCGGGAAACCGGAGCUAAUACCGGAUAAUAUAUUGAACCGCAUGGUUCAAUAGUGAAAGACGGUUUUGCUGUCACUUAUAGAUGGAUCCGCGCCGCAUUAGCUAGUUGGUAAGGUAACGGCUUACCAAGGCAACGAUGCGUAGCCGACCUGAGAGGGUGAUCGGCCACACUGGAACUGAGACACGGUCCAGACUCCUACGGGAGGCAGCAGUAGGGAAUCUUCCGCAAUGGGCGAAAGCCUGACGGAGCAACGCCGCGUGAGUGAUGAAGGUCUUCGGAUCGUAAAACUCUGUUAUUAGGGAAGAACAAAUGUGUAAGUAACUAUGCACGUCGUGACGGUACCUAAUCAGAAAGCCACGGCUAACUACGUG